Molecule: ribosomal RNA, 207 nt
Filed under: uncultured Eubacteriales bacterium
Lineage: Bacteria; Bacillati; Bacillota; Clostridia; Eubacteriales
Description: uncultured Clostridiales bacterium partial 16S ribosomal RNA
Rfam family: Bacterial small subunit ribosomal RNA
Source: RNAcentral
CGCGUAGGCGGGAUAGCAAGUCAGAUGUGAAAUGCCGUGGCUUAACCACGGAGCUGCAUUUGAAACUGUUAUUCUUGAGUAUCGGAGAGGCAGGCGGAAUUCCUAGUGUAGCGGUGAAAUGCGUAGAUAUUAGGAGGAACACCAGUGGCGAAGGCGGCCUGCUGGACGACAACUGACGCUGAGGCGCGAAAGCGUGGGGAGCAAACA